RNAcentral lists this unclassified non-coding RNA (234 nucleotides) under Hevea brasiliensis (rubber tree). Lineage: Eukaryota; Viridiplantae; Streptophyta; Magnoliopsida; Malpighiales; Euphorbiaceae. The record is from RNAcentral.
AGAUGAUACUCUUAAUGAAAAUAUCGAAUGUAGAGUGCCUGAUUCUGAUAAAAAGAUGAGAAAAUAUUAUCUGAAAUAGUGGAUAAGAGGGUAGCUGUAAUAGAAUACUACUGUAAUAGAAUACUAUCUGUCCAAUGACCAAUGCCUCACUGUUGUAGAUACAUUAUUCCUGUCUUGAAACAGGUUGGUCAUACAUGUACACUCAACUUUAUAAGGGAAGAGCAUAUAUAUGAG